Molecule: ribosomal RNA, 1694 nt
Filed under: Hydaropsis longirostris
Lineage: Eukaryota; Metazoa; Arthropoda; Insecta; Hemiptera; Coreidae
Description: partial large subunit ribosomal RNA
Rfam family: Eukaryotic large subunit ribosomal RNA
Source: RNAcentral
AGCUGACCGGCGCCGGCCCCGGGUGGGCUCCUCCUUAGAGUCGGGCUGCUUGAGAGUGCAGCCCUAAGCGGGUGGUAAACUCCAUCUAAGGCUAAAUACAACCACGAGACCGAUAGAGAACAAGUACCGUGAGGGAAAGUUGAAAAGAACUUUGAAGAGAGAGUUCAAGAGUACGUGAAACCGCUCAGGGGUAAACGGAAAAGACCCGAAACACCGAAACGAGAGAUUCACGUCUUCUCGCGGGAUCCGGCCUCCGUCGGGAGGACGGCCUAACGCCCCGUCCGGCUCGUCCGUGGCGGUGGGUAGGCUGCCUCCCUCGGUGUGUCCGGCUCCCCGGGGGCCCGCACUUCUCUCGCAGUAGGACGUCGCGACCCGCUCUGCGGCGGUCUAACGGCCGGUAGAGUGCCUGGCCGGGGCACUUCCUUCGGGUUGGGUUCCCGUCCAGCUCUCCGGACCCGCGGCCGUCGGUCCGGGCGGUAUGAAACGACUUGGCGCUGGGCCGCUCCUCGAGAGCGCCGAGCCUCCCCGCAAGCUCGGGUCGGGUCGCCGGGCCGUGCCCUCACGGGUACGCUCGGCGCCCGCCCGGACUGUUGGCGGGUGACGGCUCCGGCUGUCCGUCCAGCACGCUCGUCGGCGGCGCUUCAGAUUCGGGCACUUAUCCGACCCGUCUUGAAACACGGACCAAGGAGUCUAGCGUGUGCGCGAGUCAUUGGGUGUAAAACCUAAAGGCGAAAUGAAAGUGUCUGAGGGCGCUUGCGUCCUCGGCGGGAGGAUGGGCUCCCGGCCCCCCGGCCGGUGCCCCGCACUCCCGGGGCGUCUCAUUCUCAUUGCGAGUCGAGACGCACCAGGAGCGCACACGCUGGUACCCGAAAGAUGGUGAACUAUGCCUGGCCAGGACGAAGCCAGGGGAAACCCUGGUGGAGGUCCGAAGCGAUUCUGACGUGCAAAUCGAUCGUCUGAGCUGGGUAUAGGGGCGAAAGACCAAUCGAACCAUCUAGUAGCUGGUUCCCUCCGAAGUUUCCCUCAGGAUAGCUGGCUCUCGGGAAGAGACGAGUCUCAUCCGGUAGAGCGAAUGAUUAGAGGUGAUGGGGUCGAAACGACUUCAACCUAUUCUCAAACUCCCAAUAGAUGAGAGCCCCGGCUUGCUUGAAAGUGAAGCCGCGGGACUCGGAUCAGAGUGCCAAGUGGGCCAAUUUUGGUAAGCAGAACUGGCGCUGUGGGAUGAACCAAACGCAGAGUUAAGGCGCCUGAACCGACGCUCAUCUGAAACCAUGAAAGGCGUUGGUUGCUUAAGACAGCAGGACGGUGGCCAUGGAAGUCGGAAUCCGCUAAGGAGUGUGUAACAACUCACCUGCCGAAGCAACUAGCCCUGAAAAUGGAUGGCGCUGUAGCGUCGUGCCUAUACUCUGCCGUCAACGGCAAAGCGGGCGGCCCUUAACGGGGCGUCGCCGUUAAGCCUUGACGAGUAGGAGGGUCGCGGCGGUGUGCGCGGAAGGGUCUGGGCGUGAGCCCGCCUGGAGCCGCCGCCGGUGCAGAUCUUGGUGGUAGUAGCAAAUACUCCAGCGAGGCCCUGGAGGACUGAUGUGGAGAAGGGUUUCUUGUGAACAGCUGUUGCACAAGAGUCAGUCGAUCCUAAGCCCUAGGAGAAAUCCGAAGCGAUGGUCUGCCGUUAGUCUCUCCAGCGCCGCGCUUCC